UGGGGGAUAUUGCACAAUGGGCGAAAGCCUGAUGCAGCGACGCCGCGUGGGGGAUGAAGGCCUUCGGGUUGUAAACUUCUUUUGCUCUGAACAAGGCAUGCUUUUGGGGUGUGUUGAGUGUAGGGGUUGAUUAGCGCCGGCUAACUACGUGCCAGCAGCCGCGGUAAUACGUAGGGUGCGAGCGUUGUCCGGAAUUAUUGGGCGUAAAGGGCUUGUAGGUGGCUGGUUGCGUCUGUCGUGAAAGCUCAUGGCUUAACUGUGGGUUUGCGGUGGGUACGGGCUGGCUUGAGUGCAGUAGGGGAGGCUGGAAUUCCUGGUGUAGCGGUGGAAUGCGCAGAUAUCAGGAGGAAUACCGGUGGCGAAGGCGGGUCUCUGGGCUGUUACUGACGCUGAGGAGCGAAAGCGUGGGGAGCGAACAGG
This 420-nucleotide ribosomal RNA is filed under the name Fusobacteriota bacterium. Its description in RNAcentral is "Fusobacteria bacterium partial 16S ribosomal RNA". It matches the Rfam family "Bacterial small subunit ribosomal RNA", at positions 355 to 776 of the family's 1533-position model. Lineage: Bacteria; Fusobacteriati; Fusobacteriota. The record is from RNAcentral.